This 85-nucleotide small nucleolar RNA is filed under the name Triticum dicoccoides. Its description in RNAcentral is "snoRNA snoZ199". It matches the Rfam family "Small nucleolar RNA Z199". From Rfam's summary of the family: snoZ199 is a C/D box small nucleolar RNA, which acts as a methylation guide RNA for sites on 18S and 25S rRNA. Rice snoZ199 is reported to be homologous to Arabidopsis snoR13. The record is from RNAcentral. Lineage: Eukaryota; Viridiplantae; Streptophyta; Magnoliopsida; Poales; Poaceae.
GGGUCAAGUGAUGAGGAAUAAACCAUCAACAAUAUGAUGGAGCUCUUCUCCUCUGAUUCUUAGGAUGUAAGUCCCUGAUGGUACC